Molecule: long non-coding RNA, 1349 nt
Organism: Leucoraja erinaceus (little skate)
Lineage: Eukaryota; Metazoa; Chordata; Chondrichthyes; Rajiformes; Rajidae
Exons: 2
Source: RefSeq, a predicted model, not a curated record
AUCUCCAGCCUCACGCCCCCCAUCUUGUCUCCGGGCCGCCCGCCCCGCCCCGCCCCGCCCCCGCGCGCUGCCAUUGGCCCUGGCCCCCGUCACUCAGCGCCGCCGACGCCACGGGAUUGGCCGCUUGGGCCGGGGGGGCAGUUGCCAUGGCGACCGAUGGAUGUCCCGCCCCCCCCCCCCGGUGUUGCCCGGGCGACAGGCGACAGGCCCAGUGCGGCCCAGGCAGGCGGUGGAGAGAGGGCGGGCCCUGGGGGCGCCUCAGGGUAGGGGGGCAUCAUCAUCAUCAUCAUCAUCAUCGCCGGUAGCGGGAGACUGCAGACUGGAGGCCGGAGCUGCACCGGGAGCAGCGGCUACGGGAGGCCGGGCCGGGCCGGGCCGGGUAGUGCACGGAUAUUUGUUUUAAUCAUAGGAGCAGAAUUAGGCCAUUCGGCCCAUCAAGUCUACUCCGCCAUUCAAUCAAGGCUGGUCUUGAUCAAGAAGAAAGACGUCUAUCUCUCCCUCCUGAUUCUGAUUCAGAUUCAACUUUAAUUGUCAUUGUACAGAGACAACGAAAUGCAGUAACCCCAUUCUCCUGCCUUCUCCCCAUAACCCCUGACACCCGCACUAAUCAACGAUCUAUCAAUCUCUGCCUAAACAUUUCAAUUUCUCUAACUUCAAAUAACUAUUGCUUUCCCUCUCUCUCUGUCCCUCCCCACCAGAGUUAUCUGUCUAGUUGUACUGUCUUCCUGAUUAAUUUUACUGAUUCUCUACCACCUUCCCCAUAGCCAACCAUGAACCAUUCUACAUUUCCUUACCAUCUGCUUUGAUCUGUCGUUUUCACAUCUAACCCUUCCAUAUCACAGGCAAUUAGACACUAAGUUACAGGGAGAAGACAAGAGAAUGGGGUUGAGGGAGAAAAAUAGAACAGCCACAGUUGUGGACAACGCCUUUUACAGACCAUGAAUGUUAAAGUUUUAAUGGGCUAGAAGGCUUGGUACUUGAAGAUGGAAGUAUUUUGCGAGAAUUGCUCACAGCCUGCAGAUCGAGGAACACUGUAACCAUGCAUUACUCAACAUCUCAAGUCCUCUUCAGAAGGGCAAGUUGACCUGAGCUUUUUGAUCAAAGUCUCAUGAUUUUGUUGAAUAUCUACAGCCGGAAAACAAAAUCACAUUUUCUGAGCGGAUGUGUGGCCUCGAAUUAAAAAGGGAGGAAUAGGACAUUAUUUACCUCAUUGAAAUUCCAGGCACUUAGAUGAGUUCAAAUAACAACAAGGACCUGUUGAAUAGAGAAAGGUUGAUAACAGUGAAGCUGAUAAUAACAGCCAAGCUGGGAAAUUCAUGUUUCAUUUAUAAAAGCACUAUUCAAACCCC